RNAcentral lists this ribosomal RNA (551 nucleotides) under uncultured bacterium. RNAcentral describes it as "bacterial SSU rRNA". It matches the Rfam family "Bacterial small subunit ribosomal RNA", at positions 355 to 896 of the family's 1533-position model. The record is from RNAcentral.
UGGGGAAUAUUGGACAAUGGGCGAAAGCCUGAUCCAGCCAUGCCGCGUGUGUGAAGAAGGUCUUCGGAUUGUAAAGCACUUUAAGUUGGGAGGAAGGGCAGUAAGUUAAUACCUUGCUGUUUUGACGUUACCAACAGAAUAAGCACCGGCUAACUUCGUGNCAGCAGCCGCGGUAAUACGAAGGGUGCAAGCGUUAAUCGGAAUUACUGGGCGUAAAGCGCGCGUAGGUGGUUCAGCAAGUUGGAUGUGAAAUCCCCGGGCUCAACCUGGGAACUGCAUCCAAAAACUACUGAGCUAGAGUACGGUAGAGGGUGGUGGAAUUUCCUGUGUAGCGGUGAAAUGCGUAGAUAUAGGAAGGAACACCAGUGGCGAAGGCGACCACCUGGGACUGAUACUGACACUGAGGUGCGAAAAGCGUGGGGAGCAAACAGGAUUAGAUACCCUGGUAGUCCACGCCGUAAACGAUGUCGACUAGCGUUGGGAUCCUUGAGAUCUUAGUUGCGCAGCUAACGCGAUAAGUCGACCGCCUGGGGAGUACGGCCGCAAGGUUA